UGGUUCUGGCAUCGAUGAAGAACGCAGCGAAAUGCGAUAAGUAAUGUGAAUUGCAGAAUUCAGUGAAUCAUCGAAUCUUUGAACGCACAUUGCGCCCUCUGGUAUUCCGGGGGGCAUGCCUGUUCGAGCGUCAUUACAACCCUCAAGCUCUGCUUGGUAUUGGGUGUCACCGGAACACGGUGCGCCUUAAAAUCAGUGGCGGUGCCAUUCGGCUUCAAGCGUAGUAAUACUCUCUCGCUUCUGGAGUCCGGUUGAGCCUCUGCCAGCAAGCCAUUAUUUUUCAAGGUUGACCUCGGAUCAGGUAGGGAUACCCGCUGA
This 318-nucleotide unclassified non-coding RNA is filed under the name uncultured fungus. RNAcentral describes it as "partial contains 5.8S ribosomal RNA and internal transcribed spacer 2". The stretch from base 1 to 133 matches the Rfam family "5.8S ribosomal RNA", at positions 22 to 154 of the family's 154-position model. The record is from RNAcentral. Lineage: Eukaryota; Fungi.